RNAcentral lists this ribosomal RNA (253 nucleotides) under uncultured bacterium. RNAcentral's name for it is "partial 16S ribosomal RNA". It matches the Rfam family "Bacterial small subunit ribosomal RNA", at positions 524 to 777 of the family's 1533-position model. The record is from RNAcentral.
GACAGAGGCCCCAAGCGUUAGGCGGAAUCACUGGCUUAAAGCGUGUGUAGGCGGAUCGUUAAGUGUCUUGUGAAAUCCCACGGCUCAACCGCGGAACGGCUGGGUAUACUGGCGGUCUUGGGCCAUUCAGGGGCGACUGGAACAAGCGGUGGAGCGGUGAAAUGCGUAGAUAUCGCUUGGAACGCCGAAGGUGAAAACAGGUCGCUGGGGAUGUGCCGACGCUGAGACACGAAAGCCAGGGGAGCAAACGGGG